UUGAGCUUGGAACCAUGCCCCGGACUUGGAUUCAAACCUUCUCCGUCUACUCCAAACUCCCAAACCCCACAAAAUGGCACUUUUCACUCUCUCAAAGAAGCUCCCGUUCCCAAGAAUCAAUCCUCAAUUCUUCCUCACCCUUCUCCUCCGCCCCGUUUCCUCACAUUCACUUCAAACUCUCUCUCUCACAUUUCCUCGAACACCUCUAGACAAGCCGCGUUUCUCAGUUCUCCGUCACCUCUCUACCCAAACACUCUACGACCCAUUUGAUUUGAUCCGUUGCAAAGAUGAUGUCUGUGAUCCACUCGAAUCGGGUCUUCCCGAAUUGCUCAAACGGCUUGAGGGUUUGUCCUCGGAAGCCGAGGUCAUGGCUGUUCUUGAUGGGUCCGGAGUGGAGCCGAACCAGGAGUUGGUUUAUUGGGCGAUUUGGGGGUUGAGAGAGGAUUGGAGAUUGGCGUAUUGGGUGUUCAAUUGGGGUGAAAAAUGGGGUUGUAAUAGUGAGAGGACUCGUGGGUUGGUGAUAUGGAUACUGGGGAAUUGUAAAAAGUUCGGUGUUGCUUGGUGUUUGAUUCGUGAGUUGCAUCGGUCUUCGGUGGAUACUCGCCGGGCAAUGCUCAUCAUGAUUGAUCGAUAUACUGCUGCAAAUGAUCCAUGCAAAGCCAUUAAAACAUUCCACAUUAUGGAGAAGUUCAGACUAUCUCCAGAUCAGGAAGCAUUCUACACACUGCUGACUGCUCUAUGUAAACAUGGGAAUGUUGAAGAUGCUGAAGAGCUCAUGUUUCAAAAUAAGAAGCUCUUUCCUUUGGAGACUGAGGGCUUCAAUAUAAUUCUUAAUGGAUGGUCUAAUGUAUCUCUUGAUAUAUUUGAAGCCAAGAGAAUUUGGAGAGAAAUGUCAAAAUGCUGUAUUGUUCCUAAUGCAACUACUUAUACUCUUAUGAUUUCCUGCUUCUCAAAAUUUGGAAAUCUUUUUGACUCACUGAGAUUGUUUGAUGAUAUGAAAAAAAGGGGUUGGAUCCCUGGCCUGGAGGUUUACAAUUCUUUGAUAUAUGUACUAACUCAUGAAAAUUGCUUGACGGAAGCUCUCAAAAUCCUGGGAAAAAUCAAAGAGAUGGGCUUGCAACUGGAUUCUGCCUCUUACAACUGCAUGAUACGUCCUCUAUGUAAAGCAAAAAAACUAGAAGAGGCAAGAACUAUAUUGGCUGCUAUGAUAGGGGAAAAUCUAGGUCCAACUACUGAAACUUACCAUGCAUUUCUUGAGGGUGCUAGCUACGAAGAAACUUUUGAAGUGCUUAAAAAUUUGAGAACAGCUGGUUUUGGUCCUAAUGGUGAUACGUUUCUUCUUAUUCUCGAUAACUUAUUCAAGUUAGAUCAACCUGAGAAUGCAUUGAAGAUUUGGGUAGAAAUGAAACAGUUUGAUGUAGUGCCUGGUUCUGAACAUUACAAGGUACUGAUAGAAGGCUUGACAAAAUUUGGCUGGUUAGUUAAGGCAAGAGAAUUGUAUGCUGAGAUGAGAUCAAAAGGAUUUUUGGAUGAUCCAAAGCUUAAGAAGCUUUUGAAGGAUCCAGUAGAAGGCGAUAGUGGUGAGAGAGAAGGGUGGAUGAGGCAAGGCAAGACAGAUGUGAGAUUACAUCAUGGGAAAAGCAGUAUGAUGAGAUGGAAAAGACUGGGAAAUCAAUCAAGAAAAAGGCCUCCACUUGUAAAAUCUAAUUUGAAGCUCUGACUAAACAUAAAACCCAUAAGCUCGGUGAAAAGGUCUGUGCCUGGUAAGAAUUGCUGGUCAUGCUAAUCAUGAGAAACUAGUAUCAUAUCUAUAUUGGGGAAACCCCUGAAAGACCUGCAGCUGCAUAAGGUUUAUACUCAGGAAUCUUGAGGCCAGUUGGUUUCGUGGCCUGUUUAAGCAGAAUGAAUUUGGUGUCGCUUUAUGGGAGCAAUUUUGAUCUUUUGCAUAUUGCUACUAUCUUUAUGAGGAAAGUUUCAUUGGAAAUCUUCAAAUUUACAGAUUAGUGCUUUCAUCAGUCAUUGCCAUUAUUCCUGGUUGGAACAGAAGAACAUUUCUCAUCUCCCCAUCCUGAGAGUGUGAUGAUGGUGAGCCCAGAAGGCUGAUGAGGCUGAAGCCCUGGAUCUCUGGAAUACCCUGAUCAUGUUCAAAAUGGAGGAUGCUUUAAGUAGGGAAGAAAUAUGCCCAGGUCUGCAAAACCAACCUUAUGCAAUCUGCAGCAGGGAAUCAAUCAGAUCAAUUUUGAAAUUGAAGAGUUGUUGAAAGAAUCUGUACAAGACUGGUGAUAAGAUUGAAGACAACACAUGAUCAACCCGUAUAUCUAUAGACUCUGGGCCCAAAAGGCAUGUACAAAAGAAUAUGCUUUAUUCUUUAGGGAGCACAUUCAGAGGCCAAGAGGCCAAGAGUUAUUUUUUAUUUUUAAAUAAAAAUAAAAUAGAAUUUGUUCAUUACUGAUAA
Molecule: RNA transcript, 2455 nt
Organism: Vitis vinifera (wine grape)
Lineage: Eukaryota; Viridiplantae; Streptophyta; Magnoliopsida; Vitales; Vitaceae
Gene name: pentatricopeptide repeat-containing protein At1g80880, mitochondrial
Exons: 3
Source: RefSeq, a predicted model, not a curated record